RNAcentral lists this ribosomal RNA (254 nucleotides) under uncultured bacterium. RNAcentral describes it as "partial 16S ribosomal RNA". It matches the Rfam family "Bacterial small subunit ribosomal RNA", at positions 524 to 776 of the family's 1533-position model. The record is from RNAcentral.
UACGUAGGGUGCAAGCGUUGUCCGGAAUCAUUGGGCGUAAAGAGCGCGUAGGCGGUCUGAUAAGUCGGUUGUGAAAGUCGGGGGCUCAACCCUCGGAUGCCGAUCGAUACUGUCAGGCUAGAGUCCGGGAAGAGGCGAGUGGAAUUCCUGGUGUAGCGGUGAAAUGCGCAGAUAUCAGGAGGAACACCAAUGGCGAAGGCAGCUCGCUGGGACGGUACUGACGCUGAGGCGCGAAAGCGUGGGGAGCAAACAGG